RNAcentral lists this ribosomal RNA (978 nucleotides) under Triticum aestivum (bread wheat). RNAcentral's name for it is "partial small subunit ribosomal RNA". Lineage: Eukaryota; Viridiplantae; Streptophyta; Magnoliopsida; Poales; Poaceae. The record is from RNAcentral.
AUGACUGAUGUUGAUCGUGAGGCUGUUGUUAGUGGUGGAGAUGAUGCUCAUGGUGUUCCGUUGAGUAGUGGGCGCGAUGUUGGUGCCAAAGUUGCUGAUGAGGAUUUUGGUGCUGCUAGCAUACUUGAUGGCAAACCGUCUGGUGUUGGUAUUGCUGGGAAUGAAAAUCUUUCUGAUUUUGAAGAUUUGCCGCCGGAAAAUUUCCCGCCUGGAGGGCUUGAUUAUGGUGAUGCAUUGCAAGAUGCUUCUAGCGUGGAGGAGGAACUACCGUCGUCGUCAAACACUGAUAGUGCAGAAAGUGGAAAUGUUGUUAAGGUUGAUAUGUUUUUCUUCGCUUUUACGAGGUUGCGCACGAACCGUGCAAAACGUGACAAGCCGAUGUUUCAAAAUAAUGAGUGUGAUGCCAGUGUUGGUUCUAUUGCUAAAGCGUUUGUCCCCACUGGCAUGCUCAACUCAGACAGUGCUAACGUUGUUUUAUAUUCUCUACGUCAGAAGUACCGAGACACUGACAAGUUGAUAGUUCCCAGAUGGGUGACGCUUCUCUUCCCUACUUUUGAUCCACCGUCCAUUGCGGCUACCAUGAAGCCUAGCGAAGUAUCUGGGCAUUGGUGCUUGAUUGUUCUGAAUUUGAGGUUCCGUCGUUUUGAGUGUCUUGAUUCACUGCGCGAUGAAACCUGGAGUGAUGCAGUUAGAUUCUUAAGGAAUAUGACAGAUAACAUAAAGAAGGUUUGGAGGGAGUCUAGCGUAGACAGGGCGAAACCGUUCUCGUCGGCGCAUAUUGAUGAUUUCUCUUGCGAGUUUGUGCGGGUGCCGCAGCAGAAAAACACCCACGAAGACAUUCUUGACAUUAGGAAGACUUUUCUGUACACCUGCGCAACUAGCGAUGUGUUUGAUGUUUACUUCCGUGGUUUGUUUGGCAUCGAACCCUGUGAGUGGCUGGAUCUUAAUGAGCAUGCCUACAGGAUCUUUGGCAGCUAG